This 175-nucleotide ribosomal RNA is filed under the name uncultured Streptomyces sp. RNAcentral's name for it is "partial 16S ribosomal RNA". It matches the Rfam family "Bacterial small subunit ribosomal RNA", at positions 338 to 524 of the family's 1533-position model. The record is from RNAcentral. Lineage: Bacteria; Bacillati; Actinomycetota; Actinomycetes; Kitasatosporales; Streptomycetaceae.
CCUACGGGAGGCAGCAGUGGGGAAUAUUGCGCAAUGGGCGAAAGCCUGGCGCAGCAACGCCGCGUGAGGGAACGAAGGCCUUAGGGUUGUAAACCUCUUUCAGCAGGGACGAAGCGAAAGUGACGGUACCUGCAGAAGAAGCACCGGCUAACUACGUGCCAGCAGCCGCGGUAAU